Molecule: long non-coding RNA, 569 nt
Organism: Diorhabda carinulata
Lineage: Eukaryota; Metazoa; Arthropoda; Insecta; Coleoptera; Chrysomelidae
Exons: 2
Source: RefSeq, a predicted model, not a curated record
UUGUACAGUGCAAACAAAAGUGAUUUUCUUUUCGAUGCAAUUUGUGUCAACAGCAAUUCGUGGAAAAAACCAGUAUCGCUACGAUUACACGGAUUAACAAUUUUAGCAGUUAAACGAUCUGCAAACGAUCAUUUAUAAGAAGGGUACGUUUUUCCCACAAAAUUAACCGGAUACAACAGUUGGUUAUGCUACACAACGAGUCAGGUGGUUCGACUAUACAACAAACACUUGUUAUACGUAACGGCCAAAGUCCCCGGUCAUUUUUGUACUCACAUUAGACAUGGUGCUUCAUCAACCAAAAGUUCGUCGAGUUCAUCGACCCAUUGCUGUUGAUUUAAUCCACGUCGAAAGAUGAAUAUUUCAAAUGUCAAACUUCAUGAUAGCGGUGUCAGAUUUGACGUAUUCGGUGUUGCCGUAUCUCGAAACUUCACUAACAACCCUCGUAUAAAAAUUAUUUCGAACGUCUAUAAAUUGAAUAUUUGCAUACAUUGUUAGUACAUAAGCUUUAAAUUAACCAUAAAACCCCAUGCUACAAAUUAUGUUUUGAAUUAAAAACUGGUUUCAUAUCA